This 253-nucleotide ribosomal RNA is filed under the name uncultured bacterium. RNAcentral describes it as "partial 16S ribosomal RNA". It matches the Rfam family "Bacterial small subunit ribosomal RNA", at positions 524 to 776 of the family's 1533-position model. The record is from RNAcentral.
UACGUAGGGUCCGAGCGUUGUCCGGAAUUAUUGGGCGUAAAGGGCUCGUAGGCGGUUCGUCACGUCGGGAGUGAAAACUCGGAGCUUAACUCCGAGCCUGCUUCCGAUACGGGCAGACUAGAGGUAGGCAGGGGAGAGCGGAACUCCUGGUGUAGCGGUGGAAUGCGCAGAUAUCAGGAAGAACACCGGUGGCGAAGGCGGUUCUCUGGGCAUGUCCUGACGCUGAGGAGCGAAAGUGUGGGGAGCGAACAGG